GUGGGGAAUUUUCCGCAAUGGACGAAAGUCUGACGGAGCAACGCCGCGUGAGUGAUGAAGGUCUUCGGAUUGUAAAGCUCUGUUAAUCGGGACGAAAGAGCCUAGUGUGAAUAAUGCUAGGAAGUGACGGUACCGGAAUAGAAAGCCACGGCUAACUACGUGCCAGCAGCCGCGGUAAUACGUAGGUGGCAAGCGUUGUCCGGAAUUAUUGGGCGUAAAGCGCGCGCAGGCGGAUCUGCCAGUCUGUCUUAAAAGUUCGGGGCUUAACCCCGUGAUGGGAUGGAAACUACAGAUCUAGAGUAUCGGAGAGGAAAGUGGAAUUCCUAGUGUAGCGGUGAAAUGCGUAGAUAUUAGGAAGAACACCAGUGGCGAAGGCGACUUUCUGGACGAAAACUGACGCUGAGGCGCGAAAGCCAGGGGAGCGAACGGGAUUAGAAACCCCGGUAGUCC
This 450-nucleotide ribosomal RNA is filed under the name uncultured bacterium. RNAcentral describes it as "partial 16S ribosomal RNA". It matches the Rfam family "Bacterial small subunit ribosomal RNA", at positions 354 to 796 of the family's 1533-position model. The record is from RNAcentral.